ACUGUACAUAUUCCAAUGUUUGUCUGAUCACCAGUCACAUCUUCAUGGUGGACUGAAACUGAAAAGGAUUUUAAUACAUCAAACUGGAUCAAAUCUAGUCUUCCAUGUGCCUUCUGGCAAACUGUG
Molecule: long non-coding RNA, 126 nt
Organism: Thalassophryne amazonica
Lineage: Eukaryota; Metazoa; Chordata; Actinopteri; Batrachoidiformes; Batrachoididae
Exons: 3
Source: RefSeq, a predicted model, not a curated record